Molecule: long non-coding RNA, 1182 nt
Filed under: Mytilus galloprovincialis (Mediterranean mussel)
Lineage: Eukaryota; Metazoa; Mollusca; Bivalvia; Mytilida; Mytilidae
Source: RNAcentral
AUCCGCUGGACGGAAGCACAAGCUCCUUGGCAAAACUUUUAGCGACAGAGUAACGCUGGCCGUAAAAUUAUUAGGACUGCCAGAGAAGUAUAUCAAGAGUAUUCACCGUUUGGAAACCGAUUUUUAUGCAGUCCCUACAACAGAACUUUUCGAUCCUCCAUCUAAAACUCCAUUAAUCAGUAAAAAGAAAAACAUCGUUAAAUCCACCAUUUCGGCAAAGAAGUCCACAAAGAAAUCAUCAUCAUCUGUCAUUAAGAAACCUGAAAAACCAUCCUCUACACAAGUAACAUCAAGCCCAAGGAAAUCAACACCACCAACAACGCCGGUCGUAACCAUCACUUCUUUAGCUCUCUCUCCCAUUUCAACCAGAUCAUUAUCACCAGCCAGGCCAUCUUCACCACCUCCAGCAAAGAAUUCUGAAAAUAUUUCCUCAUCCGACAGCAAGAGACCAGAAAAACCAUCCUCUGCACCAGUGACAGCUAUAACAUAUAAACCCUCAACACCACCUACAACGCCGGCCGUUAACACCAGUAUUUCAGCUCUCUCUCCUAUAUAUCUACCGGAUCCCUGCCACCUUUACCUCCUCCAGCAAAGAAGCCCAAGAAGUCCACCAUACCAUACACCCCAGAAAAGCCUUCUCAACCUGGACCAAUAUAUAUACCACCCCGAAACAGUUGCUGGCGACAAUAACAACCCAAGAUAUUCCAAAUUUAGAGCUACAUGUACGGACACCUGUUGAACGUGCAACUACCUUGCUUCGUCUUGGGGGAAUGCCUUUGUUUCCUCCAGCACGGCGAGACUGGACUGGGGAGGUUCAGGUGAAACUUCCUGGAGAAGUUCUCACCAAGGACUGGCCUCCCCAGGGCUGGAAGGAAAUGACGCCAGACACCAAGAAACUUAAUUGGGAAUUCAUAUCAUUUCAAUAUGAGCAGGUCUCCAAUCACCCUACUGUACCUAGUCGAGCAGGACUCCUAGACAAAUAUAAUAUGUUAGCUUUGCCAGGAACAUCCCCUCACAACAAAAUUAAAGAUGUCACCAGAACCGUUAUGAAGAACCGUUUUUAUCUGUACGAACAUUUAAGAUUGAUAGCCACCAAUGGGAUUAAGCCGGAUCUUUCCACUACUUUCAUGCUGGACAUGCUGGAGAAAGCAAGCGCUAGUCGCGAUACAUCUACAGACCACA